Molecule: unclassified non-coding RNA, 344 nt
Filed under: fungal sp.
Lineage: Eukaryota; Fungi
Description: partial internal transcribed spacer region
Rfam family: Eukaryotic small subunit ribosomal RNA (bases 1-46)
Source: RNAcentral
AAGUCGUAACAAGGUUUCCGUAGGUGAACCUGCGGAAGGAUCAUUAAAAAUUUUACCAAGAAAAUUCUUUUUUUGGUCAAAAAAAUUUGUGCGCACCGUAACCAUAUCGCCUUGGCAGGGGCUUUGGGUGGAAAAAAGAAUUUUUCUCUUUUUACCCAACUUUCGCUUUGACUCCAUCCCACCUAAAAAAUGGGACAGUCAUUGUGGAGAGCCGUUUCCCUGCCGAGGAACAACUUAAAAACACUUUUUUAAAAACAUUUUGUCUGAAACUUAUUUUUUUGUGAUGGCGAAAGUCACGCAAUAAAACCAAAAUAUAACUUUCAACAACGGAUCUCUUGGCUCUC